CGACCUCACCCUUMUCAGGUGGUUAGAGCGCACCCCUGAUAAGGGUGAGGUCGGUGGUUCAAGUCCACUCAGGCCUACCA
RNAcentral lists this transfer RNA (80 nucleotides) under Salmonella enterica subsp. enterica serovar Worthington str. BCH-5715. RNAcentral's name for it is "tRNA-Ile". Lineage: Bacteria; Pseudomonadati; Pseudomonadota; Gammaproteobacteria; Enterobacterales; Enterobacteriaceae. The record is from RNAcentral.